CCUACGGGUGGCAGCAGUGAGGAAUAUUGGUCAAUGGUCGCAAGACUGAACCAGCCAAGCCGCGUGCAGGAAGACGGCACUAAGUGUCGUAAACUGCUUUUGUCAGGGGACAAAUACUGCUACGCGUAUCCGGAUGAAAGUAUCGUAAGAAAAAGCAUCGGCUAACUCCGUGCCAGCAGCCGCGGUAAUACGGAGGAUUCAAGCGUUAUCCGGAUUUAUUGGGGUUAAAGGGUGCGCAGGCGGUCAGAUAAGGUAGGGGUGAAAUCCCGGGGGUCAACCCCGGCCCUGCCUUUGAAACUGUCAGUCUAGAGUUGGGGUGAGGUAUGCGGAAUGUGUGGUGUAGCGGUGAAAUGCAUAGAGAUCACGCAGAACUCCGAUUGCGAAGGCAGCAUACCGGACUACGACUGACGCUGAGGCACGAAAGCGUGGGGAUCGAACAGGAUUAGAUACCCGUGUAGUC
Molecule: ribosomal RNA, 460 nt
Filed under: uncultured bacterium
Lineage: Bacteria
Description: partial 16S ribosomal RNA
Rfam family: Bacterial small subunit ribosomal RNA
Source: RNAcentral